CCCUUAGAUGUUCUGGGCCGCACGCGCGCUACACUGAUUCAUGCAACAAGUUUUGUCCUUGGCUGAUAGGCCUGGGUAAUCUUUGAACGUGAAUCGUGAUGGGGAUAGAUGAUUGCAAUUAUUCAUCUUCAACGAGGAAUUCCUAGUAAACGCAAGUCAUCAGCUUGCAUUGAUUACGUCCCUGCCCUUUGUACACACCGCCCGUCGCACCUACCGAUUGAAUGGUCCGGUGAAAUCUUCGGAUCUGAGAGAUGUCUGAUUAAUUUCGGACGCCUUUUGGAAAAGUUGUUUAAACCUUACCAUUUAGAGGAAGGGGAAGUCGUAACA
This 327-nucleotide ribosomal RNA is filed under the name uncultured eukaryote. RNAcentral's name for it is "partial 18S ribosomal RNA". It matches the Rfam family "Eukaryotic small subunit ribosomal RNA", at positions 1470 to 1796 of the family's 1831-position model. The record is from RNAcentral.